GAUGAACGCUGGCGGCGUGCCUAAUACAUGCAAGUCGAGCGAACAGACGAGGAGCUUGCUCCUCUGACGUUAGCGGCGGACGGGUGAGUAACACGUGGAUAACCUACCUAUAAGACUGGGAUAACUUCGGGAAACCGGAGCUAAUACCGGAUAAUAUAUUGAACCGCAUGGUUCAAUAGUGAAAGACGGUUUUGCUGUCACUUAUAGAUGGAUCCGCGCCGCAUUAGCUAGUUGGUAAGGUAACGGCUUACCAAGGCAACGAUGCGUAGCCGACCUGAGAGGGUGAUCGGCCACACGGGAACUGAGACACGGUCCAGACUACUACGGGAGGCAGCAGUGGGGAAUCUUCGGCAAUGGGCGAAAGCCUGACGGAGCAACGCCGCGUGAGUGAUGAAGGUCUUCGGAUCGUAAAACUCUGUUAUUAGGGAAGAACAAAUGUGUAAGUAACUAUGCACGUCUUGACGGUACCUAAUCAGAAAGCCACGGCUAACUACGUG
Molecule: ribosomal RNA, 497 nt
Filed under: uncultured bacterium
Lineage: Bacteria
Description: partial 16S ribosomal RNA
Rfam family: Bacterial small subunit ribosomal RNA
Source: RNAcentral